Long non-coding RNA from Myotis lucifugus (little brown bat), 708 nucleotides. RefSeq lists it as uncharacterized. The record is from RefSeq and is a predicted model, not a curated record. NCBI's taxonomy places the organism in Eukaryota, Metazoa, Chordata, Mammalia, Chiroptera, Vespertilionidae. The transcript has 3 exons.
UAAAGCAAAAGCAACACCUGUGAAGCGAAAUGAAAUGAAGCACCAUAAAAUGAGGUAACGCCUGCAAAUACUGCUUGAUGGCUGCAGGAGUUUAGAACACUUCAACUUGGACUCGAGAUGGGAGCCUACAGUGUGCAAGUUGCUCCAACGAGACGCCUUAGCUUCUUGGACUUCCCUUUGCAGUGUGACAGUCCUAGCUGAGCAGUUACUUCCCCUGAGGGACUGAUAAGCCUUUGACCAAGCCAAGCUUUCAGAUUAAGAUGAGCCUUUAGAAAUUCAGUAUUUCAAACGUACGCAGUGAGUUGCCAAAACUGGUAACACCCUGGUGCAGACGCCUUCCCUGAAGGAUCCCACACCGAAUGCAGAAAACAUCCUCUUUGGAGCCCGUGGGACCGGGUGCAGGUGAGUGAGCGGCACAGUGAAACUAAAAGGACGGCAGGACAGCGUCCCUGUCCUCGGCUUCAGCAUCUCAGAAAUACACUCCCGAGUGCAAACCUAAAUCGAAUGUGCUUCCUCGCUUCCCUCGUGUGGAGCAGAAAAGCUCAAAAGCUAAGGGUUUCCUUCGACAGGUCCUGCUCUGACUGGCGACGCGGGUGAUAAUAACUGGGACUAUUUUGGGAAUAACUUCCUCAUUAUCUCAGUUAAACCUUCCAGCAAAACUGUGCCUAUGGCACUCAAUAACUACUUUUUCAUUUUUAAAAAACCUCU